CGCGCGUAGGUGGCCAAUUAAGUCAAAUGUGAAAUCCCCGAGCUUAACUUGGGAAUUGCAUUCGAUACUGGUUGGCUAGAGUAUGGGAGAGGAUGGUAGAAUUCCAGGUGUAGCGGUGAAAUGCGUAGAGAUCUGGAGGAAUACCGAUGGCGAAGGCAGCCAUCUGGCCUAAUACUGACACUGAGGUGCGAAAGCAUGGGGAGCAAACAGGAUUAGAUACCCUGGUAGUCCAUGCCGUAAACGAUGUCUACUAGCCGUUGGGGCCUUUGAGGCUUUAGUGGCGCAGCUAACGCGAUAAGUAGACCGCCUGGGGAGUACGGUCGCAAGACUAAAACUCAAAUGAAUUGACGGGGGCCCGCACAAGCGGUGGAGCAUGUGGUUUAAUUCGAUGCAACGCGAAGAACCUUACCUGGUCUUGACAUAGUAAGAACUUUCCAGAGAUGGAUUGGUGCCUUCGGGAACUUACAUACAGGUGCUGCAUGGCUGUCGUCAGCUCGUGUCGUGAGAUGUUGGGUUAAGUCCCGCAACGAGCGCAACCCUUUUCCUUAUUUGCCAGCGGGUUAAGCCGGGAACUUUAAGGAUACUGCCAGUGACAAACUGGAGGAAGGCGGGGACGACGUCAAGUCAUCAUGGCCCUUACGACCAGGGCUACACACGUGCUACAAUGGUCGGUACAAAGGGUUGCUACCUCGCGAGAGGAUG
This 702-nucleotide ribosomal RNA is filed under the name Acinetobacter sp. Its description in RNAcentral is "bacterial SSU rRNA". It matches the Rfam family "Bacterial small subunit ribosomal RNA", at positions 566 to 1267 of the family's 1533-position model. The record is from RNAcentral. Lineage: Bacteria; Pseudomonadati; Pseudomonadota; Gammaproteobacteria; Moraxellales; Moraxellaceae.